Molecule: long non-coding RNA, 842 nt
Organism: Hyla sarda
Lineage: Eukaryota; Metazoa; Chordata; Amphibia; Anura; Hylidae
Exons: 6
Source: RefSeq, a predicted model, not a curated record
GAGCGACCUAACCUGAGGCUUGUCUGAUAACAGCGGAAAGGAGCAUACUAGAUGUAUAGGAUAUUCCACCUGCACGAGUAUACAGGAGAGCUAUGGCAGUAUACCUGGUGCAGAGGCGGACUGGCAAUGCGGUGCCUGUUAUCUUCUUCGUUCAGACAGUAGACUUGGUGCGCUGGGCUUCAGGAGCACACUGAUGUCACUGUUGCUGCUUUCCGGAGCGUGCUCGCAGUGGUACCUAGCGGAGAAACAGCAGCAGGGACCUUUUGAGGUGGUCCCUGCUAUCAAGUGAUUUCUGUAACUCUUGACUUCUCCACUUGUCUACAGUGGAAACUUCUUGACUAUGCAGCAACAUUAUGUGAAGUUGUGACCUGUCAGAGACGCACAGCAAGAUAUGCAAAGUUAAUGGUUCCCAUGAAGACACUGGAUGUGUAACAGAUACUAUCUAUUAUCAAGCAUUUCCAUCAAUGUCUUCCCUCCAGCUCUAUGAUGUCUGUAGAGAAGCAGAAACAGGACUGCUCGGCAAUAUUGAGGCCAUUCUAAACCCUCAGUUCUGUGGAGAACAGAAGAGAUUUCAUUUAAAAGGAUACGUAACGGAGAGCUGACAGACACUUGUUGCUGCUGAAGAAAACCUUCACAUUGUUGCAGAAGCCAGUGCAGAUGACAAACUUCAGUGGUCACAUCAUACAUACUGGCAGCCAGCAUAUUGGCCAGCCACCAGAGCAUCUACACUGGAUGGAUGGGGGAAAGCAGACAUGAAAGAAACUUCAAGAGUUCAUGGUCUAGAAGAAAAAAAAAAAAAGUACAGCAAUAAGUUAUUCCUUACACCAAUACAUGUUACUUAC